This 400-nucleotide ribosomal RNA is filed under the name uncultured bacterium. Its description in RNAcentral is "bacterial SSU rRNA". It matches the Rfam family "Bacterial small subunit ribosomal RNA", at positions 338 to 752 of the family's 1533-position model. The record is from RNAcentral.
CCUACGGGAGGCAGCAGUGGGGAAUAUUGGACAAUGGGGGGAACCCUGAUCCAGCGACGCCGCGUGAGUGAAGAAGUAUUUCGGUAUGUAAAGCUCUAUCAGCAGGGAAGAAAGAAAUGACGGUACCUGACUAAGAAGCCCCGGCUAACUACGUGCCAGCAGCCGCGGUAAUACGUAGGGGGCAAGCGUUAUCCGGAUUUACUGGGUGUAAAGGGAGCGUAGACGGCAGAGCAAGUCUGAAGUGAAAGCCCGCGGCCCAACUGCGGGACUGCUUUGGAAACUGCCCGGCUAGAGUGCUGGAGAGGUAAGCGGAAUUCCUAGUGUAGCGGUGAAAUGCGUAGAUAUUAGGAGGAACACCAGUGGCGAAGGCGGCUUACUGGACAGUAACUGACGUUGAGGC